This 73-nucleotide transfer RNA is filed under the name Bacillus thuringiensis serovar israelensis. RNAcentral describes it as "tRNA-Phe(gaa)". It matches the Rfam family "tRNA". Rfam says of the family: Transfer RNA (tRNA) molecules are approximately 80 nucleotides in length. The record is from RNAcentral. Lineage: Bacteria; Bacillati; Bacillota; Bacilli; Caryophanales; Bacillaceae.
GGCUCGGUAGCUCAGUCGGUAGAGCAGAGGACUGAAAAUCCUCGUGUCGGCGGUUCGGUUCCNGGUCGGGACC